UGAUAAAGAGAGGAAUUAAACCAAUGUGUACAGGACUACAGCCUGCCGCCUAACACUCGGCCACUUUACCU
This 71-nucleotide transfer RNA is filed under the name Anolis humilis (humble anole). Its description in RNAcentral is "tRNA-Tyr". Lineage: Eukaryota; Metazoa; Chordata; Lepidosauria; Squamata; Anolidae. The record is from RNAcentral.